RNAcentral lists this ribosomal RNA (474 nucleotides) under uncultured Alphaproteobacteria bacterium. Its description in RNAcentral is "bacterial SSU rRNA". It matches the Rfam family "Bacterial small subunit ribosomal RNA", at positions 9 to 524 of the family's 1533-position model. Lineage: Bacteria; Pseudomonadati; Pseudomonadota; Alphaproteobacteria. The record is from RNAcentral.
GAGUUUGAUCAUGGCUCAGAACGAACGCUGGCGGCAGGCUUAACACAUGCAAGUCGAACGCUCGUGGCAACACGGGAGUGGCGGACGGGUGAGUAACGCGUGGGAACGUACCCUUAGGUUCGGAAUAACUGCGGGAAACUGCAGCUAAUACCGGAUGUGCCCGGCAACGGGGAAAGAUUUAUCGCCUUGGGAGCGGCCCGCGUCGGAUUAGCUAGUUGGUGGGGUAACGGCCUACCAAGGCUUCGAUCCGUAGCUGGUCUGAGAGGACGAUCAGCCACACUGGGACUGAGACACGGCCCAGACUCCUACGGGAGGCAGCAGUGGGGAAUCUUGCGCAAUGGGGGGCAACCCUGACGCAGCCAUGCCGCGUGAACGAUGAAGGCCUUAGGGUUGUAAAGUUCUUUUGCCCGUGACGAUGAUGACGGUAACGGGAGAAUAAGCUCCGGCUAACUUCGUGCCAGCCGCCGCCGUAAG